GGGUUGUGAGGUUAAGCGACUAAGCGUACACGGUGGAUGCCCUGGCAGUCAGAGGCGAUGAAGGGCGUGCUAAUCUGCGAUAAGCGCCGGUAAGGUGAUAUGAACCGUUAUAACCGGCGAUACCCGAAUGGGGAAACCCAGUGUGAUUCGUCACACUAUCAUUAACUGAAUCCAUAGGUUAAUGAGGCGAACCGGGGGAACUGAAACAUCUAAGUACCCCGAGGAAAAGAAAUCAACCGAGAUUCCCCCAGUAGCGGCGAGCGAACGGGGAGGAGCCCAGAGCCUGAAUCAGCAUGUGUGUUAGUGGAAGCGUCUGGAAAGGCGCGCGAUACAGGGUGACAGCCCCGUACACAAAAGCGCAUGUGCUGUGAGCUCGAUGAGUAGGGCGGGACACGUGGUAUCCUGUCUGAAUAUGGGGGGACCAUCCUCCAAGGCUAAAUACUCCUGACUGACCGAUAGUGAACCAGUACCGUGAGGGAAAGGCGAAAAGAACCCCGGCGAGGGGAGUGAAAAAGAACCUGAAACCGUGUACGUACAAGCAGUGGGAGCACCCUUCGGGGUGUGACUGCGUACCUUUUGUAUAAUGGGUCAGCGACUUAUAUUCUGUAGCAAGGUUAACCGAAUAGGGGAGCCGGAGGGAAACCGAGUCUUAAU
This 654-nucleotide ribosomal RNA is filed under the name Salmonella enterica. Its description in RNAcentral is "partial 23S ribosomal RNA". It matches the Rfam family "Bacterial large subunit ribosomal RNA", at positions 1 to 688 of the family's 2925-position model. Lineage: Bacteria; Pseudomonadati; Pseudomonadota; Gammaproteobacteria; Enterobacterales; Enterobacteriaceae. The record is from RNAcentral. RNAcentral also lists the same sequence under 2 other names.